This is a long non-coding RNA of Helianthus annuus (common sunflower), 669 nucleotides long. RefSeq lists it as uncharacterized. Lineage: Eukaryota; Viridiplantae; Streptophyta; Magnoliopsida; Asterales; Asteraceae. The record is from RefSeq and is a predicted model, not a curated record. The transcript has 7 exons.
ACAAUCAUAGAUACCUACCACAACUUUACUCUUUUCUCUCUUCUCUUUCUUCUAGAAUCGUCAUCUUCUCACCGGAUUUUCAACAUUGAAUCAAGAUCAAAGAUCCGCCUAUAUAUCUUGAAGAUCCGACCAUAAAUCUUGAAGUUAAUGAUUUUGGUUGUUGUAUUUUUUCAUGUGAUUCCUUACAUCCGUUAUAACAAUCUGAAUCCCACCAUUCGUCAAGCAAUAGAGAUCCGACCAUAAAUCUUGAAGUAAAUGAGGGAUAUCUACAAAUUUUGAUGGUACACGGCUUUUCAUUAACGACAAUUUUGAUCAGAUGCUGACAUUCAAGGAAAAAAUCUUAAUACCAUGUUGGGUCGAAGAUGUUGGAGAAUGAACUUAAGCGUAAUUUAGAUGCCGUUUAUGAUGUGGAUUUAUGUUCUUCUCAGUCUUCCACUAAACCGCCUAAGGGUGAUUGUGAGAACAAUGAAGGUUUGAAUGUGAAGGUGGGUCUUUUGAAUCCAAAGCUGGAAAAGUAGUCUCAGAAUCUAAUAGUCACCUCAAUUUCUUCAAACAAUUUUCAAUGUUUUUUUUCGUUCAAUCGUAUUCAGAACAUUUAUGUCAGUACUUGAUGUUGCUUUUUACUCAAUGUUUGUUGCGGUUUAUCUUAAUUUUCGUUUAUUAUUGUUA